UUGCGUUUUCACACAAACCCCUUUUUAAAAAAGUGUAGAAUGACCUCAUUUUUGCAAUAAAACGCAAUCAAUACAACUUUCAACAACGGAUCUCUUGACUCUCGCAUCGAUGAAGAACGCAGCGAAAUGCGAUACGUAAUGUGAAUUGCAGAAUUCAGUGAAUCAUCGAAUCUUUGAACGCACCUUGCGCCCCUUGGUAUUCCGAGGGGCACACCCGUUUGAGUGUCGUGAAAAUCUCAACCUUCUCGGUUUCUUCUGGACACCGAAGGAGGCUUGGACUUUGGAGGCCUUUGCUGGCGUCUCUCUCUUUUGAAAGGCCAGCUCCUCUCAAAUGAAUUAGCGGGGUCCUCUUUGCCGACCCUCGACAUGUGAUAAGAUGUUUCCAUGUCUUGGUUUAUGGCUCUGUUGCCUUUGGGACCCGCUUCCAAUCGUCUCUCUGAGAGACAAUGUUCGAGCGCGUCUCCCUUCUCGGGAAACACUCUCGAACCCACGAACCCUUGACCUCAAAUCGGGUGAGACUACCCGCUGAACUUAAGCAUAUCAUAANC
RNAcentral lists this ribosomal RNA (548 nucleotides) under uncultured Lactarius. RNAcentral's name for it is "eukaryotic LSU rRNA". The stretch from base 75 to 228 matches the Rfam family "5.8S ribosomal RNA". Lineage: Eukaryota; Fungi; Basidiomycota; Agaricomycetes; Russulales; Russulaceae. The record is from RNAcentral.